Molecule: long non-coding RNA, 132 nt
Organism: Priapulus caudatus
Lineage: Eukaryota; Metazoa; Priapulida; Priapulimorpha; Priapulimorphida; Priapulidae
Exons: 3
Source: RefSeq, a predicted model, not a curated record
GCAAACGAACUCGGAGACAUCGGCGGUAGUCCCGGGAAGAGUUGUCUUUUCUUUGUAAGGGGCGCACUCCCUGGAAUCGGUUUGCCUGGAGAUAGGGAUGUUGUUUCCGUAAAGCACCGCGGCUCUUGUGCC